This is a non-coding RNA of Nothobranchius furzeri (turquoise killifish), 1479 nucleotides long. Lineage: Eukaryota; Metazoa; Chordata; Actinopteri; Cyprinodontiformes; Nothobranchiidae. The record is from RefSeq and is a predicted model, not a curated record.
UCGCAUGUGCCUAUGAUGACGGAAGAAGAAGUCAACGGAGCUCUCAGCUCAGUCAAGCAGUCUUUCACGCGUGCAAUGUUCUGUCCAGAAGGACUAACGACUCCAUUUAGGGUUAAAACCAACUACUUUGUCCAUCUAAAGGUGACACUGAACCAGUUCAACAGAGGCCCACCACUUUGAUUCUAUUUUGAAGGUGCCCAUGAUGAAAAGGCCUUUUACACCGUAUGAAGUGGACCUGUAAACUUGGUACUUUUUUCUGUGGAAAUCUAUUUCAGAUCCAAACAAUCCUUGCAUGUCCAUCUGAGAGAUCAUGGACUCAAUGAAAACACUAACGGACUAAUAAGCUUUAAGCCUGGUAUUUGGAGCACCUUCAUUGUUACGAAUUCUGCAAGAAAGAUCCAGAUCAACUGAUGGCCACUGAACCCAGUGAACUGAACCACUACCUUCCACUGUCAUCCUACGCUGUCCAAGGCCGACUGGUGAUUUCUCCAAAGGUGUUUCUUGUACAUUGAGACAACCUUGUAAUGUAGCAAGUUGGUGAAAUGAUGGACAUCACAUUCCCCCUACGAAGAAAAGAAAUAGUUGAAAAUCAACCUCUUGCGGCUGAAGUCAAAGAAAGGUGGCCAGCCCUGUUCAAAGAACAGCAGAUUGAAGCAGAGUUUGCUCGGCUGACAUCUGUUGACCUCAAGAAGUCUUUCUUCAGUGGACUGGAUCAGCAUUUGCCAAGGUUCCUGGAGCUGUUCAAGGCCAAGAGUGGGAAAUCAGCUGGACUAAGCAGGCAGCUUAAAUGUCUUGAUGACUCCUCUAUGCUGAGGCAGAGGUCAGUUGUUCUUCCGGUGCCUUCUGUAUAUUCUCAAGGAUGAUCCUUCAAAUGCAUUCAAGACUGUUCAGGCCAUUGACGAGGAAGCCACAUUCACUCGGGGAAUGCAAGUUGGAGUUCUGCUGGUGAAAGAUGGAGAGGACAUCAUUGCCACAUCAGUCAUUCUUGAGGAACAAGUGGUCCUGCCUGAUGUGGAGGACAUUCCUCAUGCCAUUGCUCUACUGAUGGGUCUGCUUUUUGCCUUUAAUAUAGACUAUCCAAAGGAACUCAGGUACACAUUUGAAGUUUUUCAAAAGGUCCUGAUGAACAUCGGCGGAGGUCAGUGUUCCUCCCUUGUGCAUGGUUUGAGAAACAGACUGUUACAAAAAACCAUGUAGAUUCUCCUGAAAUGUCUCAUCUCAUGACUCAUGGAUGUCUGAGCUUUUUGAAAGCAUUCAACGUUUCCUGUUAAACAUUGUUCCAAAGGUCAUAUAGAAGUUUGGCACAUGGUUUGGAAUUCUUGUUUUGUUAUUUCAUCUGUUUAGGUUUAUUCCAUCAGAAAAUAUAGUCAUAUUGGUUCAAAGCCAAUCAAAUGCAUAGGUUGAUAAAAAGUAUUGCAAUAAAGAGGUCAACAUAAGACCAAACGAUAGAUGACAAGAUUAAAAUGUGCACUAUUUGUU